UACAGAGACUGCAAGCGUUAUUCGGCUUCACUGGGCGUACAGGGUGCGCAGGCGGCCAAGUGUGUCAGAUGUGAAAUCCCGAGGCUCAACCUCGGAACUGCGUCUGAAACUACUUGGCUAGAGUACUGGAGAGGGUAACGGAAUUCACGGUGGAGCAGUGAAACGCGUAGAUAUCGUGAGGAACACCAGAGGCGAAGGCGGGUACCUGGACAGUUACUGACGCUCAGGCACGAAAGCGUGGGGAGCAAAAGGG
This 253-nucleotide ribosomal RNA is filed under the name uncultured bacterium. RNAcentral describes it as "partial 16S ribosomal RNA". It matches the Rfam family "Bacterial small subunit ribosomal RNA", at positions 524 to 776 of the family's 1533-position model. The record is from RNAcentral.